CCGGCACGGGUGAGUAACACGUAUCCAACCUGCCGUCUACUCUUGGCCAGCCUUCUGAAAGGAAGAUUAAUCCAGGAUGGCAUCAUGAGUUCACAUGUCCGCAUGAUUAAAGGUAUUUUCCGGUAGACGAUGGGGAUGCGUUCCAUUAGAUAGUAGGCGGGGUAACGGCCCGCCUAGUCAACGAUGGAUAGGGGUUCUGAGAGGAAGGUCCCCCACAUUGGAACUGAGACACGGUCCAA
Molecule: ribosomal RNA, 239 nt
Filed under: uncultured bacterium
Lineage: Bacteria
Description: partial 16S ribosomal RNA
Rfam family: Bacterial small subunit ribosomal RNA
Source: RNAcentral